Molecule: ribosomal RNA, 2913 nt
Filed under: Enterococcus faecium EnGen0134
Lineage: Bacteria; Bacillati; Bacillota; Bacilli; Lactobacillales; Enterococcaceae
Description: bacterial LSU rRNA
Rfam family: Bacterial large subunit ribosomal RNA
Source: RNAcentral
UUAAGUGAAUAAGGGCGCACGGUGGAUGCCUUGGCACUAGGAGCCGAUGAAGGACGGGACUAACACCGAUAUGCUUUGGGGAGCUGUACGUAAGCUAUGAUCCAGAGAUUUCCGAAUGGGGGAACCCAACAUCUUUAAUAGGAUGUUACGAUUGUGUGAAUACAUAGCACAUUCGAGGUAGACGCAGAGAACUGAAACAUCUAAGUACCUGCAGGAAGAGAAAGAAAAUUCGAUUCCCUGAGUAGCGGCGAGCGAAACGGGAAAAGCCCAAACCAACAAGCUUGCUUGUUGGGGUUGUAGGACUCCAAUAUGGUAGUUCUUUCAGAUAGUCGAAUGACUUGGAAAAGUCAGUCAAAGAGGGUAAAAACCCCGUAGACGAAAUGUGGAAGACACCUAGGAGGAUCCUGAGUACGGCGGAACACGAGAAAUUCCGUCGGAAUCCGGGAGGACCAUCUCCCAAGGCUAAAUACUCCCUAGUGACCGAUAGUGAACCAGUACCGUGAGGGAAAGGUGAAAAGCACCCCGGAAGGGGAGUGAAAUAGAACCUGAAACCGUGUGCCUACAACAAGUCAAAGCCCGUUAAUGGGUGAUGGCGUGCCUUUUGUAGAAUGAACCGGCGAGUUACGAUUGCAUGCGAGGUUAAGUUGAAGAGACGGAGCCGCAGCGAAAGCGAGUCUGAAUAGGGCGUUUGAGUAUGUAGUCGUAGACCCGAAACCAUGUGAUCUACCCAUGUCCAGGUUGAAGGUGCGGUAAAACGCACUGGAGGACCGAACCCACGUACGUUGAAAAGUGCGGGGAUGAGGUGUGGGUAGCGGAGAAAUUCCAAACGAACUUGGAGAUAGCUGGUUCUCUCCGAAAUAGCUUUAGGGCUAGCCUCGGAAUUGAGAAUGAUGGAGGUAGAGCACUGUUUGGACUAGGGGCCCAUCUCGGGUUACCGAAUUCAGAUAAACUCCGAAUGCCAUUCAUUCAUAUCCGGGAGUCAGACUGUGAGUGAUAAGAUCCAUAGUCGAAAGGGAAACAGCCCAGACCACCAGCUAAGGUCCCAAAAUAUAUGUUAAGUGGAAAAGGAUGUGGGGUUGCACAGACAACUAGGAUGUUGGCUUAGAAGCAGCCAUCAUUUAAAGAGUGCGUAAUAGCUCACUAGUCGAGUGACCCUGCGCCGAAAAUGUACCGGGGCUAAACAUAUUACCGAAGCUGUGGAGUACACCUUUAGGUGUAUUGGUAGGAGAGCGUUCUAAGGGCGUUGAAGGCAGAUCGUGAGGACUGCUGGAGCGCUUAGAAGUGAGAAUGCCGGUAUGAGUAGCGAAAGACAGGUGAGAAUCCUGUCCACCGAAUGACUAAGGUUUCCUGGGGAAGGCUCGUCCGCCCAGGGUUAGUCGGGACCUAAGCCGAGGCCGACAGGCGUAGGCGAUGGAUAACAGGUUGAUAUUCCUGUACCCGUUGUUUUUGUUUGAGCAAUGGAGGGACGCAGGAGGCUAAGGAAUGCAGACGAUCGGAAAUGUCUGUCCAAGCAGUAAGUCUGAAGAGGAGUCAAAUGCUUCUUUUCUUAAGGACAAGCUGUGAUGGGGAGGGAAAUAAUAGUACCGAAGUUCCUGAUGUCACACUGCCGAGAAAAGCUUCUAGUGAGAAAACAGCGGCCCGUACCGCAAACCGACACAGGUAGUCGAGGAGAGAAUCCUAAGGUGAGCGAGAGAACUCUCGUUAAGGAACUCGGCAAAAUGACCCCGUAACUUCGGGAGAAGGGGUGCUGAUCAUACGAUCAGCCGCAGUGAAUAGGCCCAAGCGACUGUUUAUCAAAAACACAGGUCUCUGCAAAAUCGUAAGAUGAAGUAUAGGGGCUGACGCCUGCCCGGUGCUGGAAGGUUAAGAGGAGUGCUUAGCGCAAGCGAAGGUACGAAUUGAAGCCCCAGUAAACGGCGGCCGUAACUAUAACGGUCCUAAGGUAGCGAAAUUCCUUGUCGGGUAAGUUCCGACCCGCACGAAAGGCGUAACGAUUUGGGCACUGUCUCAACGAGAGACUCGGUGAAAUUUUAGUACCUGUGAAGAUGCAGGUUACCCGCGACAGGACGGAAAGACCCCAUGGAGCUUUACUGUAGUUUGAUAUUGAGUGUCUGUACCGCAUGUACAGGAUAGGUAGGAGCCGUAGAAAUCGGAACGCUAGUUUCGAUGGAGGCGCUGGUGGGAUACUACCCCUGCGUUAUGGCCACUCUAACCCGCACCACUAAUCGUGGUGGGAGACAGUGUCAGAUGGGCAGUUUGACUGGGGCGGUCGCCUCCUAAAAGGUAACGGAGGCGCCCAAAGGUUCCCUCAGAAUGGUUGGAAAUCAUUCGAAGAGUGUAAAGGCAGAAGGGAGCUUGACUGCGAGACCAACAAGUCGAGCAGGGACGAAAGUCGGGCUUAGUGAUCCGGUGGUUCCGCAUGGAAGGGCCAUCGCUCAACGGAUAAAAGCUACCCUGGGGAUAACAGGCUUAUCUCCCCCAAGAGUCCACAUCGACGGGGAGGUUUGGCACCUCGAUGUCGGCUCGUCGCAUCCUGGGGCUGUAGUCGGUCCCAAGGGUUGGGCUGUUCGCCCAUUAAAGCGGCACGCGAGCUGGGUUCAGAACGUCGUGAGACAGUUCGGUCCCUAUCCGUCGCGGGCGUUGGAAAUUUGAGAGGAGCUGUCCUUAGUACGAGAGGACCGGGAUGGACUUACCGCUGGUGUACCAGUUGUUCUGCCAAGGGCAUUGCUGGGUAGCUAUGUAGGGAAGGGAUAAACGCUGAAAGCAUCUAAGUGUGAAGCCCACCUCAAGAUGAGAUUUCCCAUUUCUUUAAGAAAGUAAGAUCCCUGAGAGAUGAUCAGGUAGAUAGGUCAGGAGUGGAAGUACAGUGAUGUAUGGAGCGGACUGAUACUAAUCGAUCGAGGACUUAACCAA